RNAcentral lists this ribosomal RNA (253 nucleotides) under uncultured bacterium. RNAcentral's name for it is "partial 16S ribosomal RNA". It matches the Rfam family "Bacterial small subunit ribosomal RNA", at positions 524 to 776 of the family's 1533-position model. The record is from RNAcentral.
UACAGAGGUCCCGAGCGUUGUUCGGAUUCACUGGGCGUAAAGGGUGCGUAGGUGGUGGGGUAAGUCGGAUGUGAAGGCUCGGAGCUCAACUCCGAAAUGGCAUUGGAAACUACCCUGCUGGAGGUUUGGAGGGGGGACUGGAAUACUUGGUGUAGCAGUGAAAUGCGUAGAUAUCAAGUGGAACACCAGUGGCGAAGGCGAGUCCCUGGACAAAACCUGACACUGAGGCACGAAAGCUAGGGGAGCAAACAGG